RNAcentral lists this ribosomal RNA (253 nucleotides) under uncultured bacterium. RNAcentral's name for it is "partial 16S ribosomal RNA". It matches the Rfam family "Bacterial small subunit ribosomal RNA", at positions 524 to 776 of the family's 1533-position model. The record is from RNAcentral.
UACGUAGGGUGCAAGCGUUGUCCGGAAUUAUUGGGCGUAAAGAGCUCGUAGGCGGUCUGUCGCGUCUGCUGUGAAAACUCGGGGCUUAACCCCGGGCCUGCAGUGGGUACGGGCAGACUAGAGUGCGGUAGGGGAGACUGGAAUUCCUGGUGUAGCGGUGAAAUGCGCAGAUAUCAGGAGGAACACCGGUGGCGAAGGCGGGUCUCCGGGCCGUAACUGACGCUGAGGAGCGAAAGCAUGGGGAGCGAACAGG